Molecule: long non-coding RNA, 1037 nt
Filed under: Marmota monax (woodchuck)
Lineage: Eukaryota; Metazoa; Chordata; Mammalia; Rodentia; Sciuridae
Source: RNAcentral
AGUAUUGCAGAUCAAACCAAAGGCAGGAGUUUCUUUUUCUUUCUGCUUCAGGGUUGAAGAGGGAUCCUCAGUGGCUUGCAAAUUUAACUAAAUUGUGAAAGCAGUCGCCAUUCCAAAGAUUCGUGUAAAAAAAAAAAAAAGUGAGAGGACUUUGUCAUGAAACCUUUCAUUUUUUUUUUUUUAAGAAGUCAAUUGGAGAUUUUUUUUUUUUUUGGCAUUCUUUUGAUUGAAAAGUGAAUAACCAAAAAGGACUUCCUGCUCAAUAUCUGGCCCCCUGUUCUUUGAAAAAUCCAAGUACCAAAAUUCAAAUGCUCCGAGUCUGUUAUUUGUGCCACUGGGAUCCCCCUCAAUGUAGCCACAGGGUCAUAUUUGUUAAAACUUAAAAAAAAAAAAAAGAAAAAAAUACCAAUUAAAAAUGCUGUAGUCUUUGGAGUAAGAUGUUGCAUAUUUUGCCUUUCAUUUCCCCCCUCGACGGUAACGCUUAGGCCCCUCACCAAACUCUCAGUAACCAUGGUAACUGUAUACAAACCAUGCUGGCGAUGGUGCUGAAUGGUAAGUGGUGAAGUCCAUCUGCCGUUUCACGUAUUUAGUGCUGAUAUAUCUCUAUACAUAUCUAUCUACCACGUGGAGUUUUCUGACUUGUUGUAUUAAGUUUUCUUGAUGCUCUAUUUUUUUGGAUAUUGGUACGCCUGUAAUUGAGUGUACGUUCUAAGCUAGCCUGGGAGGCUCUGACUGGAUUGAGUUAUGACCGGUGCACAUCUUACUCAGAUUGUUAACUCCAUAUUGUGUUACACAAUGCACCCUCUCUUUUAUCCUUUUGUUAGCUGUGACUUUAAAAGCUUGAAUGAUUUGUUAAUUCCUGCGAUGUUCAAGGCUCUCGUUCCAAGUGUUGAAUGCUAUAUGUUGCUUCCAGAUGGUCCUUCCCUCCCAAAGUGUUGCACACGGCUUAAACUUGUUUGUCCCUUCUUUUGACAUUUAUGUUCCCUGUACCUUGUCUCUUCCCUUUCUACUCCACUGCAUGUCCCUUCAUAUGAACU